CGUGACAUCCUGCUUCAGAGCAUGUUCAUGCUGCGGUCUCGUGCGAGCUCAGAGAAGGAAAACUAUUGAAAUGAGUGGUGAUUUACCGGAGCAGCGCGAGAGUCAAAGUGGUUGUGCCGACCUGGUGGGGUGAAACUUUGUAAAGCCCGUGCACAUAGUGAUUCAGCGGUCAGGUUUUUUGUUGGAUGACGUCGUUAGAAGAGGUUGCAUCCACGUUCCACCAUCCAUUGCAACGCUUCCUGUUGGAUUCGUGGGAGGCUUCCAGGGAUUGUUCCAGAUCCCAAGAUUUCAGGAUUCCCAGUGUGAGCUGGGUGGCGAGCCGCAUUGAACUACUGGUAUCGAAUUGGAGAAUCGUGACGGACUCCUGAUC
This is a long non-coding RNA of Epinephelus lanceolatus (giant grouper), 370 nucleotides long. RefSeq lists it as uncharacterized. NCBI's taxonomy places the organism in Eukaryota, Metazoa, Chordata, Actinopteri, Perciformes, Serranidae. The record is from RefSeq and is a predicted model, not a curated record.